UACUCAGUUCAGAUUGCAGGCUGCAACCCGCCUGCAUGAAGUCGGAAUUGCUAGUAAUCGCGGAUCAGCAUGCCGCGGUGAAUACGUUCCCGGGCCUUGUACACACCGCCCGUCACACCAUGGGAGCCGGUAAUACCCGAAGUCAGUAGUCCAACCUCGUGAGGACGCUGCCGAAGGUAGGAUUGGCGACUGGGGGUGAAGUCGUAACAAGGUACC
Molecule: ribosomal RNA, 216 nt
Filed under: uncultured bacterium
Lineage: Bacteria
Description: partial 16S ribosomal RNA
Rfam family: Bacterial small subunit ribosomal RNA
Source: RNAcentral